AGCUUUGCGCAGAGGCGAUAACGUGACCAAUGAGGCUUAGCCGAGGUGCGUUUAUUGCUGGUUGAAAACUUUUCCCAAUUGCCCGCUACGGCCCCUGCAAUACGGGGUCGUAUGCAAUUUUUGAAAGCCCGAAGGGGC
Molecule: non-coding RNA, 138 nt
Organism: Pristionchus pacificus
Lineage: Eukaryota; Metazoa; Nematoda; Chromadorea; Rhabditida; Neodiplogasteridae
Source: Rfam